Molecule: microRNA precursor, 60 nt
Filed under: Callorhinchus milii (elephant shark)
Lineage: Eukaryota; Metazoa; Chordata; Chondrichthyes; Chimaeriformes; Callorhinchidae
Description: Cmi-Mir-135-P1_pre stem-loop
Rfam family: mir-135 microRNA precursor family
About the family: The hairpin precursors (represented here) are predicted based on base pairing and cross-species conservation -- their extents are not known. In this case the mature sequence is excised from the 5' arm of the hairpin.
Source: RNAcentral
UAUGGCUUUUUAUUCCUAUGUGACUUUAUUUAUGCUUCAUAUAGGGAUGAAAGCCAUGAA